RNAcentral lists this ribosomal RNA (492 nucleotides) under uncultured bacterium. RNAcentral describes it as "partial 16S ribosomal RNA". It matches the Rfam family "Bacterial small subunit ribosomal RNA", at positions 29 to 507 of the family's 1533-position model. The record is from RNAcentral.
AGUGAACGCUGGCGGUAGGCCUAACACAUGCAAGUCGAACGGCAGCACAGUAAGAGCUUGCUCUUACGGGUGGCGAGUGGCGGACGGGUGAGGAAUACAUCGGAAUCUACUUUUUCGUGGGGGAUAACGUAGGGAAACUUACGCUAAUACCGCAUACGACCUACGGGUGAAAGCAGGGGAUCUUCGGACCUUGCGCGAUUGAAUGAGCCGAUGUCAGAUUAGCUAGUUGGCGGGGUAAAGGCCCACCAAGGCGACGAUCCGUAGCUGGUCUGAGAGGAUGAUCAGCCACACUGGAACUGAGACACGGUCCAGACUCCUACGGGAGGCAGCAGUGGGGAAUAUUGGACAAUGGGCGCAAGCCUGAUCCAGCCAUACCUCGUGGGUGAAGAAGGCCUUCGGGUUGUAAAGCCCUUUUGUUGGGAAAGAAAAGCAGCAGGUUAAUACCCCGCUGUUCUGACGGUACCCAAAGAAUAAGCACCGGCUAACUUCGUG